AUGAUUUAAGACUAAGAGGGAAGUUGGUGUAAAUCCAACACGGUCCCGCCACUGUAAGCGAGUAGGAAGGUUACGCAAUAUCCACUGUGUUUUAUAACAUGGGAAGGAGUAACCGACUGUUGAUUCGUAAGUCAGGAGACCUGCCUAUUAUGUA
Molecule: non-coding RNA, 154 nt
Filed under: Ureibacillus endophyticus
Lineage: Bacteria; Bacillati; Bacillota; Bacilli; Caryophanales; Caryophanaceae
Source: RNAcentral